This is a non-coding RNA of Glycine max (soybean), 147 nucleotides long. NCBI's taxonomy places the organism in Eukaryota, Viridiplantae, Streptophyta, Magnoliopsida, Fabales, Fabaceae. The record is from Rfam.
UUGUUAAAUAAUGAUGUGACAAACAGAAUGUCACGUCAUCACUUCUUAUCACGGAUAUCUCAUUGUCACGUUAUCACCUUUAAUGAUGUGUUUGUGAUUGGACAUGAUGACGUGACAUUUUGUCUGUCACGUCAUUAUUUAACGGAA